GCCCGCUUGUAUUCUGGACAAGGCAAAGCACUCGUCCAGCAGAGAAGAAGAAUAAAAUAAAUCUAAGAUAUAUUCGGCCCUCCGGUCAAAAGACCGGGGGACACGGCGGGAGCCUGCGGCUUAAUUUGACUCAACACGGGGAAACUUACC
This 150-nucleotide ribosomal RNA is filed under the name Trichia varia. RNAcentral's name for it is "partial small subunit ribosomal RNA". Lineage: Eukaryota; Evosea; Eumycetozoa; Trichiida; Trichiidae. The record is from RNAcentral.